This is a long non-coding RNA of Prionailurus viverrinus (fishing cat), 831 nucleotides long. RefSeq lists it as uncharacterized. The record is from RefSeq and is a predicted model, not a curated record. The transcript is spliced from 5 exons. Lineage: Eukaryota; Metazoa; Chordata; Mammalia; Carnivora; Felidae.
GCUGAAGUCGGACGCUUAACCGACUGCGCCACCCAGGCGCCCCAUUAAGAAGAAAACUCGGCAGACGUGUUUGUGAUUCUGUUCAUGGCCAAUCAUGAAGGGGAAAUAAAAGGCUUUCAAAAGCUCCCCUACUGACCUUGGUGACCUGACUUAACCUCCCGGUGCCUCAGUCUUCUCAUCUGUAAAAUCGGGGAUACUAAGAACACCUGACCUCCAGGCCAACAGAGCGUGGCUCUCACACGAGAUUCUCCAGGGUUCCGGGUCUGAAUCUGCCUGGGUUCAGACCGGGUUUGUCUAAGCCCAGGACCCAUGACCUACCUCCAGCCACUGACUGAGCAACCACGCAGAAGAAAGUCAGCAAGGCUAGAGAAGCCAACCACACCGUCGGCUGACAGAUAACACCUUUCACCCAACGACAUCAAGCUUCACGUUUUUGUCAAGUGCCCAUGGGACAUAUACAAGACGGACCCUCUCCCGGGCCCCAAGACCAGGCUCUGGAAUCACACAGGGCGUGCUCUCUGACCACGAGGUACGCAAACUGGAAAUCAAUGAGAGAAAGACAGCAGGAGACUCUCCAAACACUUGGGAGACUAAAGCCAUGACCUCCCGAGCAGAGAAAAAUCAGGAAUGUCCCAACUGUCCCCAGUGUGGGCCUGGGUAUGUCGCGUUCAUAAACUAGAUCAGCUUGAGCCAUCGAUGAAGAGAGAGUGCAUGAGGACGCGGACAUCCGUUGGGUCACAUGUUAUAUGAAAAAAAGCAGGCUGGUUGGCACCGUGUCCAUCGGGGUCAUUAAAGUUUUGUAAAAAGAUGCGCGGAGGGGGUCGCCCGGGU